UCAUUAAAUCAGUUAUCGUUUAUUUGAUAGUACCUUACUACUUGGAUAACCGUGGUAAUUCUAGAGCUAAUACAUGCUAAAAACCCCGACUUCGGAAGGGGUGUAUUUAUUAGAUAAAAAACCAAUGCCCUUCGGGGCUCCUUGGUGAUUCAUAAUAACUUAACGAAUCGCAUAGCCUUGUGCUGGCGAUGGUUCAUUCAAAUUUCUGCCCUAUCAACUUUCGAUUGUAUGGUAUUGGCUUACAAUGGUUUCAACGGGUAACGGGGAAUUAGGGUUCUAUUCCGGAGAGGGAGCCUGAGAAACGGCUACCACAUCCAAGGAAGGCAGCAGGCGCGCAAAUUACCCAAUCCCGACACGGGGAGGUAGUGACAAUAAAUACUGAUACAGGGCUCUUUUGGGUCUUGUAAUUGGAAUGAGUACAAUUUAAAUCCCUUAACGAGGAACAAUUGGAGGGCAAGUCUGGUGCCAGCAGCCGCGGUAAUUCCAGCUCCAAUAGCGUAUAUUAAAGUUGUUGCAGUUAAAAAGCUCGUAGUUGAACCUUGGGUUUGGUUGGUCGGUCCGCCUCACCGCGUGCACUGAUCCGACCGAAUCUUUCCUUCUGGGGAACCGUAUGCCCUUCACUGGGUGUGCUGGGGAACCAGGACUUUUACUUUGAAAAAAUUAGAGUGUUCAAAGCAGGCCUAUGCUCGAAUACAUUAGCAUGGAAUAAUAGAAUAGGACGUGUGGUUCUAUUUUGUUGGUUUCUAGGACCGCCGUAAUGAUUAAUAGGGAUAGUCGGGGGCAUCAGUAUUCAAUUGUCAGAGGUGAAAUUCUUGGAUUUAUUGAAGACUAACUACUGCGAAAGCAUUUGCCAAGGAUGUUUUCAUUAAUCAGUGAACGAAAGUUAGGGGAUCGAAGACGAUCAGAUACCGUCGUAGUCUUAACCAUAAACUAUGCCGACUAGGGAUCGGGCGGUGUUAUCUUUUUGACCCGCUUCGGCACCUUACGAGAAAUCAAAGU
This 999-nucleotide ribosomal RNA is filed under the name Natara olivacea. Its description in RNAcentral is "SSU rRNA". It matches the Rfam family "Eukaryotic small subunit ribosomal RNA", at positions 98 to 1104 of the family's 1831-position model. The record is from RNAcentral. Lineage: Eukaryota; Fungi; Ascomycota; Leotiomycetes; Helotiales.